Molecule: ribosomal RNA, 3752 nt
Filed under: Triticum aestivum (bread wheat)
Lineage: Eukaryota; Viridiplantae; Streptophyta; Magnoliopsida; Poales; Poaceae
Description: partial small subunit ribosomal RNA
Source: RNAcentral
CCGUGUAGCUAGGGACUAGACCACAACGGUGGGCUGGUCACAGAGCCCCCGAUGACGUAACGGACAAGAUACGUCUUUUAAAAUUCACGUUAUGUCAAAGACUCCUCUAAAACUAGGAGUCCAACCAGCCGGCGUGGGUUGGACUCAGAGCUCCUGACUCGUGCGGUGAAAAACACAGGGCUUCAUAAGACGGCUCGAUCCUGAACUAGGAGUCUGGCUAAAACGUUUAGUUGGACUCAGAGUCGCCGAUGCCCCUAGUCGCCAGAAUACAGUAGGAAGUACACGUAGAGCCCAAAAUCUGGCUAUGGGUGGAACUCCCGAUGAUCGAUACAUAGAGCCGUCUCUUAUUUAACGUGGUUAGUUUUUGUAACUGUUUUUAGCCGGGUGUAAGCCCCACCACGUGGUGGAGCCUUCGUCAGGCCGUAUUUCGAGCCCGCGAUCACUGACCGAGGUAUCUCCCGUAAAGGCCGUAAUUCGAGCCGAUUUGAGGAAGCUUGAAGAAACUUGGUUCCACUAAAUGCUGUGGAGCCUAUUUCAAGCCGCAACCUCGAGCCUAUGUAACAGGCCGCAACCUCGAGCCUAUGUCAGGCCGCAACCUCGAGCCUAUGUAUCAGGCCGCUAUCUCGACCCGUCGUCAGGCUGUAACCACGAGCCGACGUUUUCUAUGGAGCUUACGUCAGGUCACAACCUCGAGCCUGCGUUCUCCUGCAACGGCGGGCCCUUGUUGAAGUUUGGGCUCCACACCGUAUUUUUAUUGUUCCGUAACUAUUUCCGGCCUUUGAAUUUCCCCGAGGAGCCUAUGGGCUGCAUAUUUGAGCAGCUUACGUAAAGCCGCUAGGAGUUAUAGCCUCUUCUAAACAACUUGGUCAAAAGUUCUGGCCGUUGGCUUCUACUUCUUGUCAAGCCUUCUUAGCUCCUCGCAGGGAUUGAACUUCUGGCCAAGUCCCCCGAUGACUGCCACAGGACCUGAUCCCCCAUGAGUUGCGCAGCAGAGGGCUAGUCAACCUAACCCGGCUCCUGGGGGUACCGGCAUAUGAGUACCCGGUCAGGCCUGUCGACGGCGUAUGUUUCUUCUUAGUUGUUCUGAACCGCUAGUUCUGUUCAUGAGGAGGGAGUGGCCGCAUAAGCCAAUCCUGAGAACAAUAGGAUCCGGAGACCACGUAAUAUAUUUGGCCCCGGUCCGAUCAGCUAUCUAUAUCUGUUGUAGUUAGUAUGGUAUCCGAUCGAAGAUCCCUAAUAGGAGAGACUAGAGCACCAUCUAGUUGAGAACAUUAUGGGUGUAGUAGUUAUAGUUAGUUCGUCCUGCAUCCCAAAAUGGAGGUAGUUCUCCCGGGCUUGGACCCAUUUUGUAGCACAGGGAAUGGAGGACAAUGGUAACUAGGAUUCUGCGUGACGAACCCUUGGGGAUGGGCUCUAGGCGGCCAAAACUGUGGCUGUCUGUAAAAUUAAUGGGUACUACGUAAAAGAAAAACAAUUGAAUAAAGUAACAAGAGUAGACGGUUGUUUUAAGAGAUAAUGCCACGUUAAUAUUUCGAAUAUGAAGUCAGUAAAGACAAAAAAACAUAGUGUUGUCAAAACUCUAACCGGAACAAUAGUAACAUGUUCUGUAGAAUCCAUUCUAGGGUACACGACUACCCAAUCAAAGAGUACAUUUGAGUAGAAAAUACCACAAGACACUAUUAGUACCGUCUGAUUUCUAUACAAUAGAUACGCCAUAUUAUCAUGGUAAUUUUAAGUUCGAGGGAAACCGUAACAUUGUCACGACAGAUUAAUAGUACGUCGCGUUUAUAGAUUGAUUUAACGCGAUACCUCGAACGUAACGAAAAUCAAAACCUGUACUUGUAUCUACGGAGACUAAUAAUGGAACCCUGUACCGAAAACGGAAGCUUUAAAAACAAUAAGACUUGAUACGAAUACCUAGAGUAAAUUAGUCCACGUGUGUGUAAACGUCACAAAUAGUUGAUCAUGUCCAGCGACAGACAGCAGAGAAAGAUAGACGAGGAGGAGAGCAACUGAACCGUACGACCAGGGACGGCACAGAGGGUGACCGAACGGGGAACGGUAGCAGUCCUCCCAACACACCCGACAAGAUGUAACCUUAGGUAUAAUUGAUACUUUUCUAGCGGUGGUACGGCAGAGAGAGACACUGGCGGAGAGGGUUGCAAAACCAAACAACCAACUGCAACACAGAGGGCGGCGGUAACGACCUUCCCAACACAUCCGGCGGCGAGUACGGUGAUGAGAUAUCACUGGUCACUCCUGGCACCGUAGCUCUAUCGGGUUUUCCCUUUGUGGUGGCCGGUGCCGCGGCCACCUCCGGAGGGGCAGACGGCUACUGACCUAUGGUGGCGGAGGCGGUGACGGUAACAGAAACAACGAAGAAACGACCGGAAACUAGUUCAGUUUCCGUUGUCCUUCCGUGUUGCCGCUAGUUCCAGGAAUACAUGCGGCUCAUGAUAGAAAACAGAACACACGUAGAAAUAUAUACAGGUCCCGUAACACCGAUCUAAAUCAUCUCUGUACCAAUGAUAAUCUGGGUUCUAUACAAUUAACUUGUGUACUACUGUUAGUAUGUUUGGUUCUUGGAACUCUAUCAUGAAAUAAAGAUACCACAUGAACUUUAUUUUAAUUAGUACGUGACCUGAACGUGAUUAAUACAAGUACAUACACAAAAGCACCCUUCGUUUUGAGUAAAGACAGUUUAAUCACGUUCCAUUGAUCUGAGUGGAAACGUAUAUAUAAAAUCAACUUUCUUUUAACUUGGUAUAUACGACCCAUGGUUAUUUCAAUAGAUGACCAAGGAAGACAAUGAAAUAAGUCGAAGACAACACAAAAAGUGUUUUUUAUUGAAUACAACGCAGAGACAGGCCAACUCAACUCGUAUACAUAUGGAUGGAGUCAGCCACUCCAAAGAGAUGGAAGCAAGACACUGAGCUUAACUAAAGAAAAGAUCCGAGAAAAUGACAUAGUACACAUACAUGGUAACAACGUACAGAGAUUAACAAAUAUAACGACUUUCGUGUUGGUGAUUAUGAUACAACAACUAUCUAUUUUGUAAAAUCUUGGCGUAACAAAUUCUUAAUUCUUUAAAUACAGAGGCUAUACCUUCAUACAUAAUACAACAACGGUUUAGACCGUAAGAUUAACAACUAGGAAAACAUCUUUUAUUCUAGGGUACCAAUAAACACAACAGUGAAGCGUACGCUUUUAUUAAUACACACCAAAGUACCUGAGAAUGGAAUAACUACCCGUGGUCCGUCUCGGACCCCUCUACAUCCGGUCGCGAGGCGGAGAGAGUGAAAGGUUCAGUGGCAACUCGGCGGAAGAAACGAAGUCUCCGAAGAACACAGUGGUAUCUAGGCACGUAGUGUUGUACGUACGUUUAGUUUUCUUCCUCACACCUCUUUCAAUAUAUAGUUCGUUUAACCUACUUCCGCACACCUAUUUCAAUAUAUAGGUUAUCGGUUGGUACAUGAUGAAACCACUAGAUUUGCAAGAAUAUAAAGAAAUGCCUCUCUCAUCAAACAACACGUUAUACUUUUUGUAACAUUUAUUCAAUAGACCCUGAUUAUGAUACCGGACGAAAAACCAAAGAUAGUAUGGUCUGGAACGAGUCCACAAAGUACAGUGUAACAUAUUGUUUACGCGGUUACCGUACAUCUAUCCCGGUAAAAAAAUGACAACACUCAUAGAUGGUAGUCCAUGAGAAACUCAUUAUAGUAUAUAUAAAGGUCUCUAUAUAACUCGUUAUA